UACAGAGGGUGCGAGCGUUGUUCGGAAUUAUUGGGCGUAAAGCGAGUGUAGGCGGGAUCGUAUGUCGGGCGUGAAAGCCCUCGGCUCAACCGAGGAAGUGCGCACGAAACUGCGGUUCUUGAGUGUCGGAGAGGGUGACGGAAUUCCCGGUGUAGAGGUGAAAUUCGUAGAUAUCGGGAGGAACACCAGUGGCGAAGGCGGUCACCUGGACGAACACUGACGCUGAGACUCGAAAGCGUGGGUAGCAAAC
RNAcentral lists this ribosomal RNA (250 nucleotides) under uncultured bacterium. RNAcentral's name for it is "partial 16S ribosomal RNA". It matches the Rfam family "Bacterial small subunit ribosomal RNA", at positions 524 to 773 of the family's 1533-position model. The record is from RNAcentral.